CUGUGGGUUUGGGUGCGGAGCGUUGGAGGUGCGCGGCGGUUCCGUUCCGCAGCUGUUGGGACCCACAGCGGAAUCCCCCCCCCCCCCCAACCCCCCCCCCCCCGGCGUGACCCCGAACGGCGGCGCAGCCUCCGGGACCCCCACAGCCCCCCCCGACCCCCCCCGGGUCCGUCCGCGCCGUCGGAGCUGCGGCCGAGCUGGCUUGCAUCCUUGUCACAGCUGGAGGAGAGGUGGAGAUCACCCUUGGUUACCUCCGCGUGCAAAACCCACCUGGAUGGUCACAGCCCUUUGCACAGAGGUCCUUUCCUUCAGCUCGCCCCCAAAUCCUUCGGAGCCAAAGGGGGAGAUGUGGGCACCGGACUGCAGCCUCAGCAGUGGGAAUGGGAAGCCGGGCUGCUGAGAGAGAGGAGGAGGUUGGGGACGUCGGCACCGGUUGCUGUGACUGAGUGUCCCCAUCCCCACACGAGGAUGUCCCAGUAUAUCCCAGAGGUGCUCCUGUGGUGCAAGCCUGGAGGACCUCUGUUGGCCAAGACCGGGUUCCAUGUCCACAUGAAGAUGCCCCAUUACACCCCAGAGGUGUUCCCAUGGCAUCACGUGAGCCUGGAGGACCACUGUUGGCCAAGCCCGGCUUCCAUGUCCGUAGGAGGAUCUCCCACUGCACCCUACAGAUGUUCUUAUGGCACUGGGAGAGCCUGGAGGACCACUGUGGGCCAAAGCCAGGUUCCACGUCCACAUGAGGAUGUCCCAAAACAUCUUAGAGGCAUUCCCAUUGGGCCAUGUGAGCCUCGAGAACCCCUGUUGGCCAAGGCCAGGUUCCACGUCCACAUGAGGAUGUCCCAGCACACCCUUGAGGUGCUCCCAUGGCAUCGUGUGAGCCCUGAGGGCCACUUUUGGCUCUGAGAUGGUCGCAGCGUGGUGAGAUGGCUCUGGGCUGGUUGGGUUUUGUUGGCUUUGUGGAACCCCAAGCAUCCACUUCAGGGGGACCUCAUCUUCUACUCAGCCAAAUGACUCCGGGUGCUGCAGGGCGAUGGCAAACGCAAGGAGACAUUCAACCACGGGCUGCCCUGACCCCAUUCCUGCUCCCCACGGGGGUGGGACAAAAGAUGUGUGAUUUGUAACCCAUCAGGUCCCCAAAAAGCACUUUUCUGUCUCCCUCCGAGCUCCACACCGGAGACGCCGGGCUGCCCCUACCCCAAUUCCCUCCCACCGCAGACGUCGAUCCGCGCAGGCGAAUGGAAACACGGCGCUGGCGAGAGGCUCCCCUGCAGAGCAGUUCCUCAUCCCGACCUGCAACGCACACAAAGAGCAAUUCAGGUGGAGUUACCCCGAGGAGAUUUAUGGCGUCCAGGGAGGCGCACGCGAUCCGAUACCAAAGCAUGAAUCAAAGCAGGACAGCCGGGAUGUAUUUACAUCUGCGCCGCGCGCGCGCGCCGACGUCGCAAGGAGAACACAAAGUCAGUUGGCAAUGGAUGACUGCUGCGGGCUCUGGGGGUGGUGGGGGGCACCUCUGAGCUUCGUGGGUGUAAAAGGGAAUGGGAAGGAUGAUGGUAAUCGAUGGGGUUGCGCUGCAUGGCUUCUCAAGGCCGAGCCAAGGGAUGUAUGUGUGAGGAAAUGGCGGGGGUUUCAUGGCUGGGGGGUAUAUCUGAGAGGAAAGCCCUUGGGUUUCAUGGCUGGGGAUGUAUUUGAGAGGAAAGCCCUUGGGUUUCAUGGCUGGAGGCAUGUUUUAGAAGAAAGCCCUUGGGUUUAGCAGUGGCUGUGGAUGGUGAAGCCUCCAUGCGUCCUCACAUCGGUUGGGUUGCGUGGGCACUCCGGUCCAACUCUGUUAUCCAACAUUUCAACCCAUACAAAGCCCAGUGGUGUCACCACGUGGUGCAGCACCAACCCCACUACCUGGGGUGGUGAUUUUGGGCCCCUUCUGCCAGGAAAUGGCUCACGCCGUGUGAAAACACCCAACCCAGAGCUGUGACAUGGUGUGGACCUUUUGGUUCACCAUUGGGGCUUUCCGGAAAGACUCAUUCCAUGAUGGAUGAACUUUUAAUGGAGAGAAAUAGACAGCCCUUCUUUAAGUGCGGGGUUUAAGUGAAGCCAAUGAUUUAAACAACUUAAAGUCCAUUAAACAAAGGGAGAACUUGGAUCUCAUCAACUCAUUCAUUCUGAGAAGCGCCCGGCCUGGGAUAAACCUGACACUGAGGAGUCAUCAGAGCAUUGCUAAAACAUACGCUUGCCUUCGUAAUGAAAUGUUUUUAAGGGACCAUAAUGGUUACCGUGAGGGCGGUUUGCGUUAGAACCAUUUGAAUUCCCUCAGCUGAGAUCCUUCAAUAGGUGCCCAUCCACUAAUGGAAAGGAGACAUUUCGGAGACGUGAAGGAGUUGGAGACAUUUCGGCCCUAUUUGGAAGAGGUGGGGGCACAGGGAGCGGUGCCAGCCCCUUCCCCAUCUCCACACCCCCACAUUUUCCCCUCCUUUCGUCCCAGGUGGAAAUGGAUGGAAGCCAAACGUGCCAUAAGACGAAGUGUGCUGAUGGGAAGCGGAGCCCAUCGCCUCCAUCACUGACAAACAGGGAGAGGUGGGGUUGGUGGUCGCUGGUUUUCCACUCGCAGUGGUCCAUCAGGGUUACGGAUGCUCUGUGGGUAACAGAAAAUGGUCAUAAUUCCCCCCCAGGUUCAGUGCUUUGGGGUUUCUCAGCAUGUUACCAGCGGGCACCAAUCGGGGUGGGGAGGACGAGAGCCUCAUUUCUCCCCAAGCAGAUAAAAUUUCUCCUCUUCCCAUCCACACAAACCCCAGCCAUAAAUCCUCAGGCUCGAGCAAAUGCAGGGCAGAAGUUUAAAGCAAACCUUACGAUUUUAAUGCCCGGGCUCAACGAAGCAUGGAAACAUUUGCUCAGCAUUAAGUGUGUGCUUAGCACCCCGCAGGAGCCCAGAGCUGCACACAGCAGUGCAGGAACUCCCUUCUUCCUCCCCAAUUCAUCCCCUGUAGGAGCAGAGCGCGGAGGCAGCGAGCCAAGCGUCCGGCCAACGCUGCAGCAAGAUUUAUGGGAGGGGAAGGGACCCGCUUUCUUCCCUGUGAUUAAUAAGGAGAAGACAAGAAACCUCCUCAGAGCCCCAAUGGAGGCAUUUCCCUGGUUUGAUGGGGUCAACGAGAGCCGAAUUCCAGCCGAUGUAGAUAUAAUUUCAUCGGGGGGUUGGAGGGUCCCUUCCAUCCCUCCCACUGCUGCAAGAAGAGAACUGGAAGCGUCUCCUCCCUCCGUGCUGCUCCAGGGCUCGGUGACCCUGCAGCGAUGUUCGGUCCUGGCAGCGGCGUGGCGACGUUCCUGGGAGGAAAACAGAGGAAAUGGGGGUCUGGUGAGGAGGAGCCCCAGUGGGAAUGGUGGGGAGGGAGGAACUGUGCUGCGCAGCCCGUGCUUUGUGCAUGACGGCACUGCGGGCAGGGAUUGCAGUGGGGUCAGGUUCCCAGCACGGGCUGCUUCCCAGGGCCUCGCUCUGCAUGGGGAGACGGAGGGGAACGCUGAAUGCAUUCCUACAAACGCCUCCAAACUCCUCUCCCAUCCUGGCCAGCUCUGCAAAACCCCACCCUGGGAUGCAAGGAUCCAAAAGCCAUCGGGAUGUCGCAUUUACCGACGCCAUUCAUCUACACCCAUCCCCAGGACGGGCUGCAGGAGCCGCGCUGGUGGUCCCAGCCAUUAGCAGAGCCCUGAGGAUGAGUUCCCAGCCCUCUCCCCCAGCCCUGUCCUUGCACAUCAUCCGCCCUCACAUCACUGCUGGAUGUGGCACCGGAGCCCUCGGCGCGGCCACAACUCAGGUUGGCAGCUGAGCAUCCUGGAGCGGCCGAGCGCGGCCGGGAGCCGUAAUUCUUACCCUGCAUUCCCUGCCAGCUCUGCUCCCCGGUGGCACAUAGAUCACCCAGAGGUGUGGAUGGAGAGCAGGCGAUGUAAAUCACAUUAAACUCCACGCGUGGAGCUGCUCGUUCCGAACGCAGCCAGCCUUAAUUCGGUUUAGCUUUGCGAAUUAAGCUCAAGUGAAUUAAACCAACUCUAAUUCUGGCUAAGUGUCCAGAAUGGGGUUUUAUGUGCUCUGGCUAAUCCAUUUUAAAGGUUGAUUUGGGUUAACGUUGAUGGAUGUCCCUUUGUGGGUACCUCUCGGUGCCGCCAGGCUCGCCUGGCCAGGAUUUAUGGCACGGCAGCAACCAGAGCCAUCCACCCCAUGACCUGCGCCAGCACCACGAGCUCCCUCAUUUCCCAGGGAAUGCUACAGAUGAGCUUCAACUGCUUUCCCAAAGGGCAGCGUCUGUUCAUUUUUCUAGCAAACCAGUGUUGGGUUGAGUCCCAUGUUCCAUUCCAGUAUUGAAGGCAGCAUCCAUCCGAUCUUGCCAACCAAUACGCAUCGGGUUGAGUCAAACUGUUCCAUUGCGUUGUCGAAGGGCAGCAUCCAUCUGACCUUGCCAACCAGCUGGCAUUGGGUUGAGUCCCACUUUCCACUCCAGUAUCAAAGGGCAGAACCCAUCUGGUCUUGCCAGCCAAUCAGCAUUGGGUUGAGUCCCACUUUCCAUUCCAGUAUAGAAGGACGACGUCCUUCUGGCUUUGCCAACCAAUUGGGUUGAGUCAAACUGCUCCAUUCCACCGUCACAGGGCAGCAGCCCUCCAGCUCUGCCAACAAACCACCCUUGGGUUGAGUCCAAUGAUCCAUUCCAAGAGAGGAGACACAUUUGGGGCACUGCUCUGAAGGUUCCUCUCUCCUCAGUGGGGGAUUCAUGGGGGGUUCGCAAUUAGUACCGCAGCGUAGACCCGAAGGUGCUGAUUUCUCUUCAUUGAGUGCAGAGAAUUUGGGGCACAGAGCUCCUUAUUUAGGCACGUCUCCUGAAUGACCAACGCUGUGCAGAUGGAAAGUGCACACAGCUAAUGAGUGCCAUUACGUCUCACCCCUUUGGUUCAAAAUGAGGACAGGACCAUCAUCACCUCCCAGCCUUCGCAACGCUGCUCGUGUAAAGGGGGGUCGAGAGGAGGGCCCAAUGCAUCCCACACCAAGAGCAUCGCCCACGUGGGAUCACGCAGCAGCCGGACCCCAAACGUCCCCUCUUCCCAAAAUCAGCCUGGAUGCGUUUCUGAGAAGAGCGCGUCCCCUUGACUUUGUCCUUACAACAUCGGCAGUGAAUCCUGCAGCCUCCACCCUCGCUCCUCUCGCAGAGCAGCCAAUUGGCAGCGGAUCAAUGCAGGAGAGAGUCAGCAGGAGGGCAGCGAGAUGAAUUAUUUCCCUCUGGGAGGCGGAGGGCAGAGCCCAGAGCUGCCCCACAGCCCGCAGGCAGGGCGCUAUAGGGCGAGCAUCGGGAUGGAGCAGCGUGGCAGGAUGUGUUCGCUGCGUCCCCCGCACCCCACGCGUGGCCGUAAGGGCGAUUAGCUCAGUUAAUUUAGCCCCGGGUUGAGGGUGGAAGACAACGUGGAGGCUCCCCGCCCAUCUGCAAAGGGCUUUGGGUCGGGAACACAUCUACAGGGGAACGCUCGUGCAGGGAAAUGUGAAUUAGCAGAGGCUUUGAGUCGAGAGUGCAUUAAUUUAAAGUGCGCUGGAAGCGCAUGCAAAAUGCAUGCAAAGUGCACUCUGCUCGGAACGAAAGCACUCCUCGGUCAAUGGGAGGUGAUUUACUGCCUCUCCCUCGGCGGUCGGGGCAGAAUCCAUCUCUCCUUCCCGCAGGUUGCUGAGCCGAACCGGGUCGGGAAGAGCAUCGCCCUCCGAGGGAGCGACUCCCCGCACAUCCCCGGCUUACGGGACGCAGCGCCGCGCUUCCCGGCUGCGGGGGGAGGACGGGCAGGGAGAGGUGCUGAGAGACGGCAGGGAUGGGAGGAGAAGGGAAAGGUGCGCUCGGAUUUAAACGCACGGCGUCCCGCGGCCCGGCGCAGCCUUCGUUUGCAGAGAGGGCCGACGGCCGUGCGGGCGCUGCAGAGCUCCGGCGGCGCUGCAAAGUAGAGGUGCGGUGUUGAAAGGAGCUGAGUGCCGCCAGUUGGGCUUAAAGCCCGAAGAGCUGAGCUUGCAGUGGGUGCCCUCCUGAAAUAGGUGGGUUGGAGAGUGCCAAAAGGCCGUCAAAAGCCCCCUGGUUUGGGGCUGCGUCGCGUCGGGUGGCACCGCUGUUCUCCGCCACGAGGGAAAUGCCCAGGGGGGUAUUUGGGCCUUUUUGGUGAUGAAAGCCAAUGGGUGUGAGCAGCAGCAGCAAAUCCCUGCUGUGAGGGAGCGGCCAAAAAGCGAGCAGAGGUGAAGCAAAGCUGCACGGCGCCGAAAGCGAACCCUGGGGAGGAAAAGGGUGGAAAAUAGUUGAGCUCUCCUCGAUUUCAGUGUGAAAUCCACUGAUCCACCGGCGGGGCUGAGCUCCCCCAUGCAGGGCUGGGGCUGUGAGCUGCCUGUCUGGGAUUGCCAGCAGAGCGAGCAAAAGCAAUUAACCUAACGAGCAGCGUGGCUCCUGUAGGAAGGAUGCAGGGCGCGGAGCUCGGGGUUUUAAAUCAAUCUCGUGGUGGUGAAGGAUGGAGAGAUGAGCGCGGCCCGGAAAGGAGAUGCUGCUUAAUGAGCCCUCGAGAUGUGCUUUUAAGCAGUGUCCUUCCAGAUGGGAUGAGAUGAGUGUUAAACCACGGGAAGGGGUCGGGGUGUUUGGGGGGGUUCCCACCAACGGGGGAUCCGUGCCAGUCCUCUCCAUUGACUCCAGAGGGAGUCGGGAUGGGCAGAGAGAAGAGGGCAGAACCAAUUGGGUCGGAUGGGACCCUCAAAGGGCACCGGGUCUGACCCCAGGGGUGGGUUUGUGCCCCAUAUAGCACCAGGUCUGACCCCAGGGGUGGGUUUGUGCCCCAUAUAGCACCAGGUCUGACCCCAGGGGUGGGUUUGUGCCCCACGCAGCACCAGAUCUGACCCCCAGGGAUGGAUUUGUGCCCCAAUGGCCUUUCCCAGGGAUGCACUGAGGUUCCCAUGUUGCCCCCCCAGAGCAUCCCCCAUUGGCACUGCUGGGUCGGGGCCUCCCACCCCCUCCCACCCCCUCCCACCGACCCCACCCUCACCAAUAGGACACCUUCACCCCCCCCAUUUGGGACUAUUCUCCCCCAAAACACGAGGUUCCCCAUCACCUCCUCUCACCAUCCUGGACCCCCAGGCGAUGAGGGGCCGCAGCUCCCACCGCCCCGAGCCCCAGAAGUCUAUUUAUUACUCACAGCAAUUAAUAAAGGGCGGGAGGCAGACGAGCAUCUCUCCUGCCUGUUGCUAAUUAGUGCUCUGCUGGCGGGAGGCGAGGAGGAGGCAGAGGCUGCAGGCAGCUCGCUCGCCCACGACGCGUAAUGAAAGCAGCACAACCCUUCGCGUUAUUUAAUCUAAUAGGAGAAUUAAUAUCUGGAUGGAGGGCGAUCGCUUCUGCUCUACAGAUGGGGGCACGCAGCGAGGAAGGGGGGGGGGGGGGGGGGACACCCAGGGAUGCGCCAUCCAUCUUGCUUUAUCCCCAAAAUGCCAUUGGAUUGCAUGGUGGUGGGUGGCUGUCGGCGGCCUUUUGGGGUCUUUUCUCCCCUUUUUGGCUCAGCACGGUGAUUGAAACCCACUCCCCACCCUUCCCACGCUGGUAAAGCCCCCCCCCCCCCCCCCCCCCCACCCCGAUCUCAACGAGGAGCACUGGAAGGGCUGCUGUCUGUCCAUGCGUGGAGUCUCCCCGGGCUGGGUGACAAAUGGCCCCUGUGACAGUAAUGGCAAAAUUAGAAGCUGCAUCGCCGUCCCCUCCGCCCGCAGCCCGCGCUGCGCUGCGCUCCUCCCCAACACGCAGUGCAAAGAAAGGUCAGCGGGCGCCUCGCAUGUUAAUGCAUGGAGAUGGGGGGGGGGGGG
This is a long non-coding RNA of Gallus gallus (chicken), 7831 nucleotides long. Lineage: Eukaryota; Metazoa; Chordata; Aves; Galliformes; Phasianidae. The record is from Ensembl.